This 250-nucleotide ribosomal RNA is filed under the name uncultured bacterium. RNAcentral's name for it is "partial 16S ribosomal RNA". It matches the Rfam family "Bacterial small subunit ribosomal RNA", at positions 505 to 754 of the family's 1533-position model. The record is from RNAcentral.
GUGCCAGCCGCCGCGGUAAUACGGAGGAUGCGAGCGUUAUCCGGAUUUAUUGGGUUUAAAGGGUGCGUAGGCGGAAUGGUAAGUCAGUGGUGAAAUGGUGCAGCUCAACUGUAGCAUUGCCAUUGAUACUGUCAUUCUUGAGUACAGAUGAGGUAGGCGGAAUGUGGUGUGUAGCGGUGAAAUGCUUAGAUAUACCACAGAACACCGAUUGCGAAGGCAGCUUACUAAGCUGACACUGACGCUGAAGCAC